RNAcentral lists this unclassified non-coding RNA (253 nucleotides) under uncultured Actinomycetes bacterium. RNAcentral's name for it is "uncultured actinobacterium contains 16S-23S intergenic spacer region". It matches the Rfam family "Bacterial small subunit ribosomal RNA", at positions 524 to 776 of the family's 1533-position model. The record is from RNAcentral. Lineage: Bacteria; Bacillati; Actinomycetota; Actinomycetes.
UACGUAGGGUGCAAGCGUUGUCCGGAUUUAUUGGGCGUAAAGAGCUCGUAGGCGGUUAGUCACGACGGAUGUGAAAACCAGGAGCUUAACUCCUGGCCUGCAUUCGAUACGGGCUGACUAGAGUGUUGUGGGGGAGACUGGAGCUCCUGGUGUAGCGGUGAAAUGCGCAGAUAUCAGGAAGAACACCGGUGGCGAAGGCGGGUCUCUGGGCCGAUACUGACGCUGAGGUGCGAAAGCGUGGGGAGCGAACAGG